This 84-nucleotide microRNA precursor is filed under the name Bombyx mori (domestic silkworm). Its description in RNAcentral is "mir-2807 microRNA precursor family". It matches the Rfam family "mir-2807 microRNA precursor family". The record is from Rfam by way of RNAcentral. Lineage: Eukaryota; Metazoa; Arthropoda; Insecta; Lepidoptera; Bombycidae.
CUAACUCAAAUUUGUAUAGUGUUGGAACGUUUGCCUACGUUUGCCGCUAGGGGCGCUGUUCCAACUGCAUACAAAUCUAUGCCA